This 96-nucleotide microRNA precursor is filed under the name Burkholderia cenocepacia. RNAcentral describes it as "mir-598". Lineage: Bacteria; Pseudomonadati; Pseudomonadota; Betaproteobacteria; Burkholderiales; Burkholderiaceae. The record is from RNAcentral.
UCGUGAUCGUGAUCGUGAUCGUGAUCGUGAUCGUGAUCGUGAUCGUGAUCGUGAUCGUGAUCGUGAUCGUGAUCGUGAUCGUGAUCGUGAUCGUGC